Molecule: transfer RNA, 69 nt
Filed under: Ictidomys tridecemlineatus (thirteen-lined ground squirrel)
Lineage: Eukaryota; Metazoa; Chordata; Mammalia; Rodentia; Sciuridae
Description: Spermophilus tridecemlineatus (thirteen-lined ground squirrel) tRNA
Rfam family: tRNA
About the family: Transfer RNA (tRNA) molecules are approximately 80 nucleotides in length. Their secondary structure includes four short double-helical elements and three loops (D, anti-codon, and T loops).
Source: Rfam by way of RNAcentral
GGGGUUGUGGCUCAGAGGUAGAGCACUUGCCUACCAUGUGUAAGGUGCCAGGUUCGAUCCUCAGCACCA